CACUACGGUGCUGAAGCAACAAAUGCCCUGCUUCCAGGAAAAGCCUCUAAGCAUCAGGUAACAUCAAAUCGUACCCCAAACCGACACAGGUGGUCAGGUAGAGAAUACCAAGGCGCUUGAGAGAACUCGGGUGAAGGAACUAGGCAAAAUGGUGCCGUAACUUCGGGAGAAGGCACGCUGAUAUGUAGGUGAAGUCCCUCGCGGAUGGAGCUGAAAUCAGUCGAAGAUACCAGCUGGCUGCAACUGUUUAUUAAAAACACAGCACUGUGCAAACACGAAAGUGGACGUAUACGGUGUGACGCCUGCCCGGUGCCGGAAGGUUAAUUGAUGGGGUCAGCGCAAGCGAAGCUCUUGAUCGAAGCCCCGGUAAACGGCGGCCGUAACUAUAACGGUCCUAAGGUAGCGAAAUUCCUUGUCGGGUAAGUUCCGACCUGCACGAAUGGCGUAAUGAUGGCCAGGCUGUCUCCACCCGAGACUCAGUGAAAUUGAACUCGCUGUGAAGAUGCAGUGUACCCGCGGCAAGACGGAAAGACCCCGUGAACCUUUACUAUAGCUUGACACUGAACAUUGAGCCUUGAUGUGUAGGAUAGGUGGGAGGCUUUGAAGUGUGGACGCCAGUCUGCAUGGAGCCGACCUUGAAAUACCACCCUUUAAUGUUUGAUGUUCUAACGUUGACCCGUAAUCCGGGUUGCGGACAGUGUCUGGUGGGUAGUUUGACUGGGGCGGUCUCCUCCUAAAGAGUAACGGAGGAGCACGAAGGUUGGCUAAUCCUGGUCGGACAUCAGGAGGUUAGUGCAAUGGCAUAAGCCAGCUUGACUGCGAGCGUGACGGCGCGAGCAGGUGCGAAAGCAGGUCAUAGUGAUCCGGUGGUUCUGAAUGGAAGGGCCAUCGCUCAACGGAUAAAAGGUACUCCGGGGAUAACAGGCUGAUACCGCCCAAGAGUUCAUAUCGACGGCGGUGUUUGGCACCUCGAUGUCGGCUCAUCACAUCCUGGGGCUGAAGUAGGUCCCAAGGGUAUGGCUGUUCGCCAUUUAAAGUGGUACGCGAGCUGGGUUUAGAACGUCGUGAGACAGUUCGGUCCCUAUCUGCCGUGGGCGCUGGAGAACUGAGGGGGGCUGCUCCUAGUACGAGAGGACCGGAGUGGACGCAUCACUGGUGUUCGGGUUGUCAUGCCAAUGGCACUGCCCGGUAGCUAAAUGCGGAAGAGAUAAGUGCUGAAAGCAUCUAAGCACGAAACUUGCCCCGAGAUGAGUUCUCCCUGACUCCUUGAGAGUCCUGAAGGAACGUUGAAG
This 1292-nucleotide ribosomal RNA is filed under the name Escherichia coli. RNAcentral describes it as "partial 23S ribosomal RNA". It matches the Rfam family "Bacterial large subunit ribosomal RNA", at positions 1575 to 2843 of the family's 2925-position model. The record is from RNAcentral. Lineage: Bacteria; Pseudomonadati; Pseudomonadota; Gammaproteobacteria; Enterobacterales; Enterobacteriaceae.